GAUGAACGCUGGCGGUAUGCCUAACACAUGCAAGUCGUACGAGAGUUUUUAACUCUAGUGGCGGACGGGUGAGUAACACGUGAGAAUUUGCCUUUAGGAGGGGGAUAACAAUUGGAAACGAAUGCUAAUACCCCAUAUGCUUUUGAGUGAAACGGAUUUAUCCGCCUAGAGAGAAGCUCGCGGCUGAUUAGCUUGUUGGUAAGGUAAGAGCUUACCAAGGCGACGAUCAGUAUCUGGUUUGAGAGGACGAUCAGACACACUGGAACUGAGACACGGUCCAGACUCCUACGGGAGGCAGCAGUGGGGAAUUUUCCGCAAUGGGCGAAAGCCUGACGGAGCAAUACCGUGUGAGGGAAGAAUGCCUAUGGGUUGUAAACCUCUUUUUUCAGGGAGGAAUAAAAUGACGUGUACCUGAAGAAUAAGCAUCGGCUAACUCCGUG
Molecule: ribosomal RNA, 440 nt
Filed under: uncultured bacterium
Lineage: Bacteria
Description: bacterial SSU rRNA
Rfam family: Bacterial small subunit ribosomal RNA
Source: RNAcentral